GCGCGGGUGGCGGAAUAGGUAGACGCGCUAGCUUGAGGUGCUAGUCCCCAAUAUUCGGGGGUGGAGGUUCAAGUCCUCUCUCGCGCA
Molecule: transfer RNA, 87 nt
Filed under: Propionibacteriaceae bacterium
Lineage: Bacteria; Bacillati; Actinomycetota; Actinomycetes; Propionibacteriales; Propionibacteriaceae
Description: tRNA-Leu
Rfam family: tRNA
About the family: Transfer RNA (tRNA) molecules are approximately 80 nucleotides in length. Their secondary structure includes four short double-helical elements and three loops (D, anti-codon, and T loops). Further hydrogen bonds mediate the characteristic L-shaped molecular structure. tRNAs have two regions of fundamental functional importance: the anti-codon, which is responsible for specific mRNA codon recognition, and the 3' end, to which the tRNAs corresponding amino acid is attached (by aminoacyl-tRNA synthetases). tRNAs cope with the degeneracy of the genetic code in two manners: having more than one tRNA (with a specific anti-codon) for a particular amino acid; and 'wobble' base-pairing, i.e. permitting non-standard base-pairing at the 3rd anti-codon position.
Source: RNAcentral